RNAcentral lists this ribosomal RNA (502 nucleotides) under uncultured bacterium. RNAcentral's name for it is "bacterial SSU rRNA". It matches the Rfam family "Bacterial small subunit ribosomal RNA", at positions 29 to 526 of the family's 1533-position model. The record is from RNAcentral.
AACGAACGCUGGCGGCGCGCCUAACACAUGCAAGUCGAACGAGAAUCCGGGGGCAACCCGGUAGUAAAGUGGCAAACGGGUGAGGAAUACAUGGGUAACCUACCCUUGAGAAGGGAAUAACCCGCCGAAAGGUGAGCUAAUACCCUAUACGCUAUCUUUUUUUCGAAAAGGAUAGGAAAGCCGGGUCGAGGACCUGGUACUCAAGGAGGGGCUCAUGUCCUAUCAGCUUGUUGGUGGGGUAACGGCCUACCAAGGCUACGACGGGUAGCUGGUCUGAGAGGAUGAUCAGCCACACUGGCACUGAGAUACGGGCCAGACUCCUACGGGAGGCAGCAGUGAGGAAUAUUGCGCAAUGGGCGAAAGCCUGACGCAGCGACGCCGCGUGGGGGAUGAAGGUUUUCGGAUUGUAAACCCUUUCAUGAGGAAGAUAAAGUGGUAACCACUUAGACGGUACCUCAAGAAGAAGCCACGGCUAACUUCGUGCCAGCAGCCGCGGUAAAGU